This 1229-nucleotide long non-coding RNA is filed under the name Macaca fascicularis (crab-eating macaque). Its description in RNAcentral is "lncRNA (ENSMFAG00000051609.1)". Lineage: Eukaryota; Metazoa; Chordata; Mammalia; Primates; Cercopithecidae. The record is from RNAcentral.
GUGGAGAGUAGUGAUGUCUAGAGUGAGCUAUUUUGUGCUGAGGCCACUGUGUUCUGUAAAUCCAUAAUUUUAAGAGCAAUCUCACAAUCCCUGCUAAGUGGAGUUUAUUAUUUGAAGACUAAAAUGGAAUUCCAUAGUUCCCGAUAGAUUAUAUUCUGAGUUACUAUUCUGAGUUAUCUACAAACAUUUUUGAGACACUUGAAGAUUUGUCUUUACACUAGUUUCCAGCAGCCCAUGCAGACUGCCAAGUAAGUCUCAUUUUUUUUCCUGUUAGAAAUGGUGAAGUGUCAUAUAGUCACUUAACAAAGAACACUGAUUAGAAAAAAUUUUAGCGUUGUUUGCUUUAUGGUCACUCAAAUAUGGUAAGUGUUCCACAUAUUCCACAAAUUGAUUAGUUGAUAGUUUAACAUGGAUAUCUGAAAGCCACAUAUAUAAUUUCUUAGGAUUCUUAAAUUAGCAAACCUAGCUUACUGAAGCAGUAUUAGCAUCACUAUUUUAGGUUGCAAAAAUACUUUAAUUGUGUGGAAUUGGCUAAUAGAGUGGUACUUAAGAAAAAUGGGAUUCUACCUCUAUUUCUGUUUUGGCACACUUAAACAUGAAAGGAUAUAUUAACUUUCAUAGAAAUAUUUUUGUUGUGUGAAUAGGUUAAUGAUAUGGUAAGGCCCCUAAGAUAACUGAAUUAACUGUUUAUUGUAAUUGUAGGCCAUUCCCAUUAUUAAAAAUAAAGACAAAACUUUGAUAAACUGUGAAAAUCUUAUCGUGCUAUGUAGAAACAUUGAACUAAUAUUCAAAUAGUUGAAUGCUUUGGUUUCAGGGAUUGGUUUAAAAUUUGCGUCCUUUUUCAUGGGUUAGUCUUAUAAAAAUUUAAGCCUUUAUAUUUUUGACUUUAAAUCAAAACAAAUGUUAUUUUAAAUGUACAGAAUAGAUUGAUAGUGCAGAAGAGCGUAAGUUCUUCAUGGGAGCUUUAGAAAAGAGAAGUAUAUGCCAAUUCAGUUUUUUUUUAAUCUUCUGCACUGUACAUAUACACUUGGUAAUUAUGAGCUCAAUUUUGUUUUUGGAAAUAGUGUUGAUAAUUUAGGUAAUUUGCUACUUAAAGCACUAAGUCUCUGAUACCUGAAAAGUAAAUGUAAAUGGUGAUGGUGAAAUAAUACUGCAAUUAACUUAAUAGAUGUAUACUGCUGAUUUUUGUAUGCUGGAUUAAAACUCCAGAUAUUAAAAUAUAACCUGGA